RNAcentral lists this ribosomal RNA (509 nucleotides) under Botrytis cinerea. RNAcentral describes it as "eukaryotic LSU rRNA". The stretch from base 177 to 330 matches the Rfam family "5.8S ribosomal RNA". Lineage: Eukaryota; Fungi; Ascomycota; Leotiomycetes; Helotiales; Sclerotiniaceae. The record is from RNAcentral.
UCCGUUAGGUACCUGCGGAAGGAUCAUUACAGAGUUCAUGCCCGAAAGGGUAGACCUCCCACCCUUGUGUAUUAUUACUUUGUUGCUUUGGCGAGCUGCCUUCGGGCCUUGUAUGCUCGCCAGAGAAUACCAAAACUCUUUUUAUUAAUGUCGUCUGAGUACUAUAUAAUAGUUAAAACUUUCAACAACGGAUCUCUUGGUUCUGGCAUCGAUGAAGAACGCAGCGAAAUGCGAUAAGUAAUGUGAAUUGCAGAAUUCAGUGAAUCAUCGAAUCUUUGAACGCACAUUGCGCCCCUUGGUAUUCCGGGGGGCAUGCCUGUUCGAGCGUCAUUUCAACCCUCAAGCUUAGCUUGGUAUUGAGUCUAUGUCAGUAAUGGCAGGCUCUAAAAUCAGUGGCGGCGCCGCUGGGUCCUGAACGUAGUAAUAUCUCUCGUUACAGGUUCUCGGUGUGCUUCUGCCAAAACCCAAAUUUUUCUAUGGUUGACCUCGGAUCAGGUAGGAGCCCCAAU